AGAACCCAACAUCACAUCAACUCUUGAGCUGAUGUCCUUAUUCAUGUCUGCACAAAACUCUAGGCAAUUCUGUCAUGUAUAAUUUUACCUUUUUCAGAUUUUGCUUGUGAAGAAACUUGGAACACCUAUUGCAAUCAAAUCAAAAUGUUAUAGUGGGAGAUUAAGUUUCCAGUGUCUGAUCCUCUUUUGGUACCACAGUUUCUUGCAGGUUAAUCUGGCCUAAUAAGGAAAUUAA
Molecule: unclassified non-coding RNA, 235 nt
Filed under: Hevea brasiliensis (rubber tree)
Lineage: Eukaryota; Viridiplantae; Streptophyta; Magnoliopsida; Malpighiales; Euphorbiaceae
Source: RNAcentral